CCUACGGGAGGCAGCAGUAGGGAAUAUUGCUCAAUGGGGGAAACCCUGAAGCAGCAACGCCGCGUGGAGGAUGAAGGUUUUCGGAUUGUAAACUUCUUUUGACAGGGAAGAGUAGAAGACGGUACCUGUCGAAUAAGCCACGGCUAACUACGUGCCAGCAGCCGCGGUAAUAAGUAGGUGGCAAGCGUUGUCCGGAUUUACUGGGUGUAAAGGGCGUGUAGCCGGGUUGACAAGUCAGAUGUGAAAUCCUGCGGCUUAACCGCAGAACUGCAUUUGAAACUGUUGAGCUUGAGUACUGGAGAGGCAGACGGAAUUCCUAGUGUAGCGGUGAAAUGCGUAGAUAUUAGGAGGAACACCAGUGGCGAAGGCGGUCUGCUGGACAGCAACUGACGGUGAGGCGCGAAAGCGUGGGGAGCAAACAGGAUUAGAUACCCCUGUAGUC
This 442-nucleotide ribosomal RNA is filed under the name uncultured bacterium. RNAcentral's name for it is "partial 16S ribosomal RNA". It matches the Rfam family "Bacterial small subunit ribosomal RNA", at positions 338 to 795 of the family's 1533-position model. The record is from RNAcentral.